Molecule: ribosomal RNA, 981 nt
Filed under: Triticum aestivum (bread wheat)
Lineage: Eukaryota; Viridiplantae; Streptophyta; Magnoliopsida; Poales; Poaceae
Description: partial small subunit ribosomal RNA
Source: RNAcentral
AUGACGAUUUACAUCGCGAGGGAGGCAACCAAGCUAUGGAGGAAGGUGUGCGCGGAGACUUCGGUGGAGCUGCAGCUUCUGUUCGAGAAGUGGCACCUGCUACUUGCCGGAAUUGUGUUUCAGUAUAUUCAUGGAUUGGCUGCUCGAGGAGUACAUUACUUGCAUCGGCCCGGUCCAAUACUCCAGGACAUGGGAUUUAUGGCCCUUCCGGAGCUCGGGCAAGACAAAGGUUAUCUUAGUGAGACUGUAUUCACUUGCAUCUUCCUUUCAUUUCUGUUGUGGAGUUUUCACCCUUUUGUUUAUCAUAGCAAACGUUUCUACACUGUUCUACUCUGGCGCAGGGUGCUUGCAUUUUUAGUCGCUUCACAGUUUUUGCGAAUUAUUACAUUCUAUUCCACUCAGCUUCCUGGCCCAAAUUAUCACUGUCGUGAGGGCUCGAAACUGGCCACUCUUCCACCACCCAAAAAUGUUCUUGAAGUGCUCCUGAUCAACUUUCCUCGUGGAGUGCUUUUUGGCUGUGGUGAUCUGAUAUUUUCAUCUCACAUGAUCUUUACUCUUGUCUUUGUCCGUACAUACCAUAAAUAUGGAUCAAAAAGGUUGAUUAAGCUAUUUGCCUGGUUGAUGGCCAUCAUCCAAAGUCUCCUUAUCAUUGCUUCUCGCAAGCACUACACCGUGGAUGUUGUUGUUGCUUGGUAUACUGUCAAUUUGGUUGUAUUCUUUGUUGACAAGAACCUCCCAGAAAUGCCGGAUCGUACAAGUGGGUUAUCUUUGCUUCCAGUAAGCACAAAAGAUAAAAGUGACAGGAUGAAGGAAGAGCUCCACAAGCCCGAGAAGGAUAACAAAAUGAAGGACGAACACCAUAAGUUAUUGAAUGGAAACACCGUUGAUUCUACUGAUCGGCGACAAUGGAUGCCGAUGAACGGAAAGCAUGGCGAAGACAUGAACCACACGCUCUCUGAUGCCGUUCCCAACGGUACAUGA